RNAcentral lists this long non-coding RNA (781 nucleotides) under Brassica rapa (field mustard). Its description in RNAcentral is "long non-coding RNA (BRAP_LNC001724)". Lineage: Eukaryota; Viridiplantae; Streptophyta; Magnoliopsida; Brassicales; Brassicaceae. The record is from RNAcentral.
GAUAUUGUUGGACUUGUAUGUAACGUGUUGAACAUUGUAUAAAACAUUAUCGUAGUUCCAGAAGCCUUUGCCCAAAGUACUUCAGAAAACAGAGGCUUACUAACAUCCCCCCUCCCCCCUCCUUCAUAUACAUAUGCCCAUCCCUCCCUCUCAUUUUUCACAAAUUAUUUACAAAUUUCAUCGUAAAAUGUCAGUGGAAUCUGUUAUAAUUUAGAAUCUUAAAAGGGCUAUGUAUACGCAGGGUGCAAACGCAGAGGGCAAUCUCUGGUUGUCAGCGUGACAUAAGCUGACCUCAUCAUCGACUGGCCUGAACGGACCCGCCUUCGCAAUUAAAAACCUUCUCGGACUCUCUCAAGCCAAAAGCACGCAAAUGAGGAUGGUGUCCUUGCAGUGGCGGAUAUAUAAAUAAUUUCUGUAGGGGUCAUGAAAAACAAGUUUGAUACAUCAACUUAUAGUAUCUAUCCGUAGAUGGAAAAAAAAUAAGAAGGCAUUUACAAGAUUGAACACAAAUUUACUAGGUAGUUUUUAUCUUGAUUUUUCACCAAAUUUAAACUAGAAAUAAAAUAUAGACUAAUUUCACAGGGGUUACAUGACUCACGUAAGCCUUCAUUACAUCCGCCACUGUGGCCUUGGAUAGAUACAACACCAAAAAGAAUACGUCGUUUAAACCUAACCUAACAAGCAAAUUAGAGAAUUAAUGGGCGACUUAAUUUAGGUUGGUUAAUGUCUGUAGUAAAAAAUUACCACGUCCACGUUACUUUGUUUGAGUGCCUGAUUACGC